Molecule: long non-coding RNA, 1740 nt
Organism: Vidua macroura (Pin-tailed whydah)
Lineage: Eukaryota; Metazoa; Chordata; Aves; Passeriformes; Viduidae
Exons: 3
Source: RefSeq, a predicted model, not a curated record
CCACCUGUCUGCACCUCCCUUCAGGAAAUUGUAGAGAGCAAUGAGGUCACCUCUGAGCCUCCUCUUCUCCAGGCUAAACAACCCCAGCUCCCUCAGCUGUUCCUCACAGGGUUUGUGUUCCCAGCCCCUCUCCAGCCUCGUUGCCUCCUCUGGAUGCGCUCAAGCGUCAAAAUGUCCCUGUGUGCUCGGCACUGGGGAGGUCCCACCUCGAGUGCUGCGUCCAGUUCUGGGUCCCUCCCUACAAGAAACUGAGGUGCGGAGCAAGUUCAGAGAAGGGCAGCGAAGCUGGUGAAGGGUGUGGGGUUCUAUGAGGAGUAGCUGAGGGCUGGAAGAGAGGCUCAGGGGAGACAUUAUGGCUCUCUACAACUGACAGGAGGGCACAGCCAGGUGGGGGUCGGGCUCUUCCCCCAGGCAACAGCAACAGGACAAGAGGACAUAGGCUCAAGGUGUGCCAGGCUGGACAUCAGGAAGAAUUUCUUCACUGAAAGCGUGGUCAGGUGUUGGAACAGACUGCCUAGGGAGGCGGUGGAAUCACCAUCCUUGGAGGUGUUCAAGAAAUGACUGGAUGUGGCAGUUACGGCCAUGGUCUGGUUGACAGGGUGGUGGUCAGUUAGUUUGGAUGACCUUUGGAUGACCUUGAUGACCUUGCGGGUCUUUUCCAACCUUAAGAACUCUACUGCGUCCCUCUUUCCUGCAACCUGAAACAGAAAUCUUGGUGCUGAACUCAGCUGAGGCGCUUCCAAACCUGGGGAAAGUAAAAGGUUCAUUUCACAUCCAUGGAGAUGAAACAAUGUUUGUUUGCUUUCUGACUGGGCUUAGGAUCUCCUGAGUCCCUCCACAGGGCAGGUUUAACACGUAUGACUUUAGGCAUCAAUUACACAGUGUAAUUGUUUGUUUUUACGCUUCCAUUGCCAUGAACACCAACCUUAAUUUCUUUUUGACCCACUUUAACACCCAGAGCCCUAUUUGCAGAGCUAUUAAAGCACUGGCAAUUUAGAGAUAUACAUUUGUACAGAUGGUUAUUCCUCCUUAAGUGCUUUUUGCCUUAACUGAAUUACCUACCGUUUAUUUUUUGUAAUUUCCUCAAUUUGCCAGGAUCACUUUAAUUUCUCUGAAGUGUUUGCAGCUCAUCCUGCUCUGGCAAAAUUUGUGCUGGCCUUGGAGACAUUACUGAAAAUAUUUAGCUGCAUGAAGAACUGGGCUUCAAACCUUCUUCCACCAGCACAAGGAAACCAGCUACAGCUACUCUGAGCGCUGGGAAUAUCUCUGUGUCUGCUUGGAGCUUCCCGUUCCGCCCGCUGUGCGUGGCCGGACCUCGUGAUUUCCUCUGCAGGCACAUCUGGCAGCAAAUACCCCAAAUACCCCUAGGGAUCGUCUGUGUGCCCCUCUCACACCGCCCACAGGAGACUCCCCUUUCUUCCCCUGUCCACACCGUGCUUGGAUGUCUCCCGCCCCCUUUCAGAGCUCGCUAUAAAGACAAGCAAAACAGGCAGUUGCCCACAGCCUUCUCCCGUGGGUCCCUGUGUAAACUUUGCAGCUCUGUUUUCCCUGGGCUCACAGCCCUGUCAUCACUCCCCUCUUCCUGACCUUCUCACAUGCCCUUCGAAUGCAGCCAUACCUUCCAUCUCUUUCCUUACUGCAGAGGCUCUAAUGGCCUGAACCAGCCCUCCCCCCACGGUUUAUCUCUCCUCUUCCCAUGCUGCAGCCUGCUCAUGGAAUGAUGGACAAGCUAAAGGUUGA